UCACAUUUCAAAAUGACAUAAGAUAGAAAUACACAGUGAACUAUUUCCAGGAAGUCAUUUAAACAAAUCAUACAGGUCUACACACAAAAGGAAAAUGCAAAUCCUUACAAGUGACAUACGUAUCAUUUUCAUGCUCCCAACUGACAUGCUUAUAGAAAAAUACCUUCUAUCUCCCAGCUACUAAACAAUAUCGAGGAGUAGUGCUCAAGAUUUUUUGCAAUGAAUAGAGAGUUCCACAUCUUAAUUGUCAUGGGAUCAGUAAGUUCUACAGCAGUUGCCUUAUCUACCAACCUAUAACACAGUCUUGUAAUAGCACUUUUCAAUUUGUAAGUGGCAUUCCAAGUUUUUGAGCCAUUGCUUGUUAGCACAAUUGGCUUAGUAUUCCACCACAUAGAGCUGCAUAUUGUUCAUACAAUCAGCAGAAUUGAUCUUUUGAAACAUAUUUUUAAUACAGUGGAAAACUCAUUGUGUGCGACAACAAGUCAAAGCCCUUUAGACAUAAGAAUAUAAGCACACUCCACUAAUUCCCCAACAUCAAAUUUUGAAUAACAGAUUUUAGGAGGGCACAGCCCUCUGGUCUUUUAUGAUUACAAUGACAGAAUAAAAUGAAACGAAAAGGAGUGGCUAAGGGGAGAGGGUAUAUCCUUUCCUUGCCAUCCAUGUAUUCUGUCGGUGCUACUUUGUUGAGGGCUUCUUUAGAAUAUGUGACCCUGCUGCACAUGGGUGGGUCUUUGAGGACAGUGACCUUAGCAACCUUUGCUAGAGGAAGGUAUGAUGAGGACAGACCUGGUGCAGGUACAAUCGAGGUUUAAGGUGUAGAUUGUUGAUUUGGAAGGAGGCAGGCCUCCAGAACUGUUGGAUCUGGAGGCCUCCAGGGCUUGGACGGUUAGGGUUUGAGAAGGCGGAAGAAGGAGACAGGAAGGAGGCAUACCAGAGGGCUCCUUGUCUUUGCAUUGCUAUAGCAGGGCUUGGACAGUUAAGGUUUGAGGAGGAGGAAGAAGGAGACAGGAAGGAGGCAUAUCAGAGGGCUCCUUGUCUUUGCAUUGCUAUAGUUCUUCUGCCAUCUUCCAUUAUCUCUCUCUCUCUCUCUCUGUGACCAGGGAUUCCAUGAACAGUGUUACAGUCACUCCUUGAAGGCUAACAGUGACAAUCUAUCAAUAGCAAUUAGAUCAGAUUUCCUAAAUACCAUUAGCUAAGAGGUAAAUACAAAGAAUAAAUUGAAUGCUACAUAAUAAUAUCAGCAAGAUAAACUAAUCCAAUAACAGUCAAUCUCCUAAUAAUGUCAUCAGACUUGCAUAUUUUGGACAUGGGAGUUCCUUCCAUGUUUUGCAAAUGAUGUGAACUUUUGCAAGUCUUCUGUGAUUAAUUAGACAUAAUCCUUGAAGUCUCUUUUAAUUAGUCACAUAAAUAUAUCUAUAUAUAUAUAU
This 1427-nucleotide long non-coding RNA is filed under the name Vitis vinifera (wine grape). RNAcentral's name for it is "long non-coding RNA (VVIN_LNC003045)". The record is from RNAcentral. Lineage: Eukaryota; Viridiplantae; Streptophyta; Magnoliopsida; Vitales; Vitaceae.